This 764-nucleotide ribosomal RNA is filed under the name uncultured bacterium. Its description in RNAcentral is "bacterial SSU rRNA". It matches the Rfam family "Bacterial small subunit ribosomal RNA", at positions 98 to 898 of the family's 1533-position model. The record is from RNAcentral.
GCGGACGGGUUAGUAACGCGUGGGAACGUGCCCUUUUCUACGGAAUAGCCUCGGGAGACUGAGAGUAAUACCGUAUACGCCCUUCGGGGGAAAGAUUUAUCGGAGAAGGAUCGGCCCGCGUCUGAUUAGGUAGUUGGUGGGGUAAUGGCCUACCAAGCCUACGAUCAGUAGCUGGUUUUAGAGGAUGAUCAGCAACACUGGGACUGAGACACGGCCCAGACUCCUACGGGAGGCAGCAGUGGGGAAUCUUAGACAAUGGGCGCAAGCCUGAUCUAGCCAUGCCGCGUGAGUGAUGAAGGCCUUAGGGUCGUAAAGCUCUUUCGCCAGAGAUGAUAAUGACAGUAUCUGGUAAAGAAACCCCGGCUAACUCCGUGCCAGCAGCCGCGGUAAUACGGAGGGGGUUAGCGUUGUUCGGAAUUACUGGGCGUAAAGCGCACGUAGGCGGAUCAGAAAGUUGGGGGUGAAAUCCCAGGGCUCAACCCUGGAACGGCCUCCAAAACUCCUGGUCUUGAGUUCGAGAGAGGUGAGUGGAAUUCCGAGUGUAGAGGUGAAAUUCGUAGAUAUUCGGAGGAACACCAGUGGCGAAGGCGGCUCACUGGCUCGAUACUGACGCUGAGGUGCGAAAGUGUGGGGAGCAAACAGGAUUAGAUACCCUGGUAGUCCACACCGUAAACGAUGAAUGCCAGUCGUCGGGUAGUAUACUGCUCGGUGACACACCUAACGGAUUAAGCAUUCCGCCUGGGGAGUACGGUCGCAAGAUUAAA